ACAAGAUUAUAAUGUAAUGCUGUUUUAUAAUGUGCUUUUCUCAUUAAGCAAUUAUCAUAAAUAUCAUUCAGGUCAAUUAAUGAACUUAAUGUUCGCAUAGUAUUCCACCUAUGGCUGUACCAUAGUUAGGCAUUUCACAAUUGUUAGAUGGCUACUUUGGUUCCAAUUUUUCAUUAUUCUUCACUUCACUGUGAAGAAUUUCAUCAUUACUACAUUUUUACCAAAAAAUGAUGACAAUUUCCUUGUACAAAUUCUUGAAAAUGGAAUUGCUAGGACAAAGGGUCUACAAAAUGUUCAGGCCUUUGAUAUCUGUUGGUAAGAUACAACUUUUAACAGGUAUAUAGUAAUGAAUAAUUCUAUGUUGACUUUUUUUCCUUUCCCUCAUAUAGGACCCAUUAAUCUUCUCACUGGCUCUACCCAUCCUCUACCCUUUUCUAACUGGAAAAUUCCAAGCCUAAUCUUUCCUCACCCCCAUUUCAGUCAUUCAACAACAUUCAACAAGUAUGUGUUGAACACCUACAAAAUUCCAAGGUCUGGAGAUCCACUGAUGAACAAAACAGAGCCUUAUGCUUGCAGAACUUGUGUUCUAGUGGGAAGAUACAGAUAAUAAAUAUAACAGGGACCUGACUGAUAGAUUGGAUGCCGAUUGUGAAUGAAAGUGGAGUUAAGGAUGGCUUCUUUGGCUGCAAGACCCAGGGCUCACCAGGUCCUCCCCUUCUAUACAACUUUGUGCCCCAAACCUGGCCAAGGCGACUUUGGGAGCUUCGUUCCCCUUGGCAGUACCCGAACUGCGUAGAGCUUCUAAGGAGUAGAAGCCCAUCCCCUUGACCAAGAAGAUCUGCUUAGCGGGAGAUGGAGGAAAGUUGCAAGGAGAGCCAGACGGUAAUUCAGUCUCUAUUUAUCACAGAAUUCAUGUCAAAUACUUACUGACCUGCCUGAAAAUGUGUCUUGGUGUUAAGCAGAUUCUCCUUUUAAAUUUUCAAGAAAAAACUAUUAUAUAAAAUGGUGGUUAAGAG
Molecule: long non-coding RNA, 1016 nt
Organism: Aethalodelphis obliquidens (Pacific white-sided dolphin)
Lineage: Eukaryota; Metazoa; Chordata; Mammalia; Artiodactyla; Delphinidae
Exons: 3
Source: RefSeq, a predicted model, not a curated record